GAUGAACGCUGGCGGCGUGCCUAAUACAUGCAAGUCGAGCGAACGGACGAGAAGCUUGCUUCUCUGAUGUUAGCAGCGGACGGGUGAGUAACACGUGGAUAACCUACCUAUAAGACUGGGAUAACUUCGGGAAACCGGAGCUAAUACCGGAUGAUAUUUUGAACCGCAUGGUUCAAAAGUGAAAGACGGUCUUGCUGUCACUUAUAGAUGGAUCCGCGCUGCAUUAGCUAGUUGGUAAGGUAACGGCUUACCAAGGCAACGAUGCAUAGCCGACCUGAGAGGGUGAUCGGCCACACUGGAACUGAGACACGGUCCAGACUCCUACGGGAGGCAGCAGUAGGGAAUCUUCCGCAAAGGGCGAAAGCCUGACGGAGCAACGCCGCGUGAGUGAUGAAGGUCUUCGGAUCGUAAAACUCUGUUAUUAGGGAAGAACAUAUGUGUAAGUAACUGUGCACAUCUUGACGGUACCUAAUCAGAAAGCCACGGCUAACUACGUG
This 497-nucleotide ribosomal RNA is filed under the name uncultured bacterium. RNAcentral's name for it is "partial 16S ribosomal RNA". It matches the Rfam family "Bacterial small subunit ribosomal RNA", at positions 28 to 507 of the family's 1533-position model. The record is from RNAcentral.